This 304-nucleotide unclassified non-coding RNA is filed under the name Hevea brasiliensis (rubber tree). Lineage: Eukaryota; Viridiplantae; Streptophyta; Magnoliopsida; Malpighiales; Euphorbiaceae. The record is from RNAcentral.
UGAUUGAUAACAAGGAAUAAUGCUUAUAUAUAACUAAAUGGUCAUAAAAAAAACGGAGAAAUGGAUAUGACAAUGUCAUGGGAAACAGGGAAACAUCAAACGCCAAAAGUGAAUUCAAAAUCUCUCUCUUUCCAGUGACUGUUCAACAUUGAACUAAGAGAAAAGAAGCCAAGCUUGUGACAUUUUCAUUUAAUGAAAGCAUUUCCAUGAUUGAAAACUCAAUUUGUAACCUUUUCCUACAUUUUCUCAUGAAGCAAACAAAGCAUCACGAUUAACAGAUAAUAAAACAAACCUUAAGAAAAAA